AACGAACGCUGGCGGCAGGCUUAACACAUGCAAGUCGAGCGCCCCGCAAGGGGAGCGGCAGCCGGGUGAGUAACGCGUGGGAACUUACCUUUUGGUUCGGAACAACUCCGUGAAACUGGAGCUAAUACCGGAUAAGCCCUAACGGGGAAAGAUUUAUCUCCGAAAGAUCGGCCCGCGUCUGAUUAGCUAGUUGGUGAGGUAACGGCUCACCAAGGCGACGAUCAGUAGCUGGUCUGAGAGGAUGAGCAGCCACACUGGGACUGAGACACGGCCCAGACUCCUACGGGAGGCAGCAGUGGGGAAUAGUGGACAAUGGGCGCAAGCCUGAUCCAGCCAUGCCGCGUGAGUGAUGAAGGCAUUAGGGUUGUAAAGCUCUUUUGUCCGGGAAGAUAAUGACUGUACCGGAAGAAUAAGCCCCGGCUAACUUCGUG
RNAcentral lists this ribosomal RNA (431 nucleotides) under uncultured bacterium. RNAcentral describes it as "partial 16S ribosomal RNA". It matches the Rfam family "Bacterial small subunit ribosomal RNA", at positions 29 to 507 of the family's 1533-position model. The record is from RNAcentral.